Long non-coding RNA from Scylla paramamosain (green mud crab), 635 nucleotides. RefSeq lists it as uncharacterized. The transcript has 2 exons. Lineage: Eukaryota; Metazoa; Arthropoda; Malacostraca; Decapoda; Portunidae. The record is from RefSeq and is a predicted model, not a curated record.
CCCGAGUAUCAUUUCAAAAGGCGCCAGAGAGAGCAAAACAAAUGAAUAACGCUACAUUUCAAGUCUAGUACCUUUUUGCUGCAUUUCGUACCUAUGAAUUAUCUAAACUUUGAAAUAAAAAAAAAAACUGCGUCAUUAGAUAGUUACGAAACAAGGUACCUAACAAGCCACUGACAGCCUAACGAAGCCUAGCAGUGUCAGUGGUUCAUUUGCUUCGAAGCGGUUCACUGGCUGGUAUCACUGGUUCUCUGUCCCCUGCUGCGGUUGACCACUCUUAUGCUAGUGGUGGUGGCCGCCUGACCGCCCUCCUGCUGCUGCUGCUGCUAUGUGUGCUGUGUGCUGUGUGUUGUCAGGGCCUUGUUCAUUGGUUUACUGGUUCAUGGUCCCCUGUCCACUGGUGAAGCUGACAGGUAGAAGUAAAAGCGACCAGCACACCAUUAACCAGAGGGCAGGAACAGAUAGAAUGGCUUUGUGUAUGUUCAUAAGCAGAAAUUUAAAUAAUCUUCCACUCCCGUACUGUGCCGUGUUACCAUUACCACGCCAGUUUGUCAUUCUUCCACCUUCGAGUCUCGUCCUCCACUUGUCGAUGCUGGAAUGUUUAUAUAAUCCUUUGGUGUGGAGGAGGAGGAGGAGGA